AGCGAGGUAGGGUAGUCAGGAGAUCCCGACGGGCUCAUAACNNUGGUUCAAAUCCAUCCCUCGCUA
RNAcentral lists this transfer RNA (66 nucleotides) under Methanoregulaceae archaeon. RNAcentral's name for it is "tRNA-OTHER". It matches the Rfam family "tRNA". From Rfam's summary of the family: Transfer RNA (tRNA) molecules are approximately 80 nucleotides in length. Their secondary structure includes four short double-helical elements and three loops (D, anti-codon, and T loops). Lineage: Archaea; Methanobacteriati; Methanobacteriota; Methanomicrobia; Methanomicrobiales; Methanoregulaceae. The record is from RNAcentral.